CUUGGUACAAUUAAAAACCUGAUAAUAAAUUGUUCAAAUAAGGCCUUCGAAAAUAGUGAAAUAAAUUACUUUUGGAGUGUCAAGAACUCGUUGGAAGUACUUGAUAAAUUGCAUGCUUAUAUUGGUGAUUUUGAAUCUGUUCAAAGUUUUGAUUUUUCUACCCUGUAUACCACAUUGCCUCACAUUCUCAAUAGAAAAAAUUCACACACCUAAUUAAAUGGGCAUUCAAAAAAUCAGAAUGUGAAUAUAUAUGUUCAAACUCUUUUAGGUCAUUUUUUAGUAGCAAUAAACAAAAAACUAUGUUAAUUGGACAUGCUUUGAUACUAUAUAUGCCCUUGAAUUUUUACUAGAUAACAUUUUUGUUCGCUUUGGGGAUUCCGUAUAUCGUCAGAUUAUCGGAAUUCCAAUGGGGACUAACUGUGCACCACUUAUUGCGGAC
RNAcentral lists this long non-coding RNA (439 nucleotides) under Mytilus galloprovincialis (Mediterranean mussel). The record is from RNAcentral. Lineage: Eukaryota; Metazoa; Mollusca; Bivalvia; Mytilida; Mytilidae.